This is a long non-coding RNA of Cercocebus atys (sooty mangabey), 1111 nucleotides long. RefSeq lists it as uncharacterized. Lineage: Eukaryota; Metazoa; Chordata; Mammalia; Primates; Cercopithecidae. The transcript has 3 exons. The record is from RefSeq and is a predicted model, not a curated record.
UGAUGGGAAGCCAGAAGACAGAAUGCCUUUCCUAAGGGGAAAGAAAAAUUUAAACACCUAUUGCUGGCUUUGAAAAUGGAAGAAGAAUGCCCUGAUUGAAGGAAUGUAGUGGCCUUUAGCAGUUGGCAAGAUGGCCUGAGAAUUCAGGGAGCCACUGAUGCAUUCUGGAGUCUGAAGGCCAGAGAACCUGGAGUUCUAACAUCCAGGGGCAGGAGAAGAAAGAUGUUCCAACUACAGGAGAGUGAAUUCAUGUUUCUUCUGCCGUUUUGUUCUGUUCAGGCCCCUACUCAAUUGGACAGUGCCUGCCCACAGUGAGGGUGGAUCUUCACUCAGUCCACAGACUCUCACACCAAUCUCCUCUGGAAACACCCUCACAGACACAUGUAGAAGUAAUGCCUCACCAGCUCUCCAGAGCUCUCCAGGUAUCCCUUAAUCCAGUCAAGUUGACUUCUAAAAUUAACCAUCACGAUAAUUCAGUGGCUUUUAGUACAUUCAUAGGAUUGUGAAGCCAUCGUGACUACCUCAUUCCAGAACAUUCCAAUCACCUCCCAAAAGAAACUCUACCUAUUAAUGGGCACUCCCCAUUAUCUCUCCCUCCAAACCCUGGCAACCAUAUAUCUACUUUCUGUGUCUAUUGAUUUUCCUAUUCUGAAUGUUUUAUAUGAAUGGGAUUAUAUAGUAUGUGACAUUUUAUGUCUGGUUUCUCUCACUUAAUGUUUCAAGGUUCAUGCAUGUUGGAGCAUAUAUCAGUACUUCUUUAUCUUAAUAGUUCAUUAUAGGUCAACGUAGGUACAUAUUACAUAUUGUUUAUUCAUUCUCUUCAUGGACAUGGGUCACUUCUAUUUUGGGGACUAUUCUGAAUAUUGCUGUUAUGAAUAUUAAUAUACAGUAUCUGUCUGAAUCCCUGUUUUAAAUUCUUUUGGAUAUAUACCUGAGAGUGGAAUUGCUGGAUCAUAUGAUAAUUCUAUGUUUAACAUUUUGGGAGACCAACAAACUGCUUUCUACAGCUGUACCAUUUUACAUUCCUACCAGCAAUGUGCAGAGAUUCUAAUUUUGUCACAAUAUUUCCAACAUGUAUUAUUAUUAAUAUUAUUAUUGCUAUUCUAAUGGA